Molecule: long non-coding RNA, 2696 nt
Organism: Leopardus geoffroyi (Geoffroy's cat)
Lineage: Eukaryota; Metazoa; Chordata; Mammalia; Carnivora; Felidae
Exons: 2
Source: RefSeq, a predicted model, not a curated record
GGAAAUUGAGAGUCCUAAGAACCAGCUUUUUUUCUUUACCUUUCCUAUGAUUACCUACGUUUGGAAGCACAUUGGUGCCUCUCCCCAUAUUGUUCCAAGCAAUGAUGUAAAUGUGAAGGGGGAAGCUGCUAGUCAUCUAAACCUUAAAAGUAGAAGGAAAACAGUGUGAUGAAAUUAAUACUAAUGUUGUGAUACUUGAGGUGACCGGCCAAAGAAUGAUGGUGUAGUGUGCCCUGGAGUGGAGAAAUAGGAACUCCAGGAGGCAGUAGAGGAACACACAGCAUGGAAAGCAGUGGGGUACUGAAGAUAGCUUUUUUCCUCUGCAUUUUUCCAGACUCAUAUGGUGGAAUAAAACCUCCCCUAAGUAAGCAAAGCUCUGCUACUUUACCCCCAAAUUUCCAUGUGCCUUUAUAGGAUAUAGUGCUGGAAGGAGCACUGGAUUCGAGUUAGAAGAUCCGGAUUCUAGUCCUGUUUGUUAUCUUUUGUACUCUAGGAAAGUCACCUAAUUUUUUACCUUAUUGUGGAAAUGGAGAUGAUGAUAGCUGUGCUAACGUAUCUGUCACAGUUAAUUUAAGGAUCAGAUGGUAAUAGAUAAAACUGAAAGUAUAUAUAUACAUGCUAUGUAUAUAUACAUAUACACUAAAAUAGAGUUUAUGUAUAAAACUGAAGUCUAUAUAUAAAAAGUUAUUAUUAUUAUAACUUUUUUUCUUAACCCUCUAAAAUUCCUACCAUGACUGCCACUCUAUUCCCUGCCCUGCCUUGCCUGGAGUGGUGGGGAGUGGGAUGGGGAAAGAUGAGUCAGCUCCUGUCACCCAUGGCAUGAAUCUCCUGUUUCUUGGGAAUCAAAGCUGCAAAUCUUCCCUUCUUCUUAGAGUUGUACCCAGACUUCAUUUGAAGAGCCAUCUCCCAUCUUUCUAUGGCUAAUUUCUCAGGGGUGUGUAGAGGAACCAGGAUUAGCUGAUUCAGCUAUGAGAGGAAUUUACCCACACCUAUUACAUUCACCUUGGAUAAAUUGGUCAGAAUCGUUUCUUCACUUUGAUUGGUCAAUUACAGAGAAAUUGGGAUUUUUUUUUCCUUAUGGUAAUUCAGAGAGUCAUUUGAUUAAUUGAGAUUCUUUUUCAUUGACAAUUAUUUCAUCAGUGAUGGCUGCACUGAUACUACUAAAAUCUUGAAUGAUCCAAAAUGUAGACCCAGAUAAGUUUACCUUAGGUAAAUUUUAACAGUGGUACAAUUUAAAAUGGAACCAAUUUAUAAAAGUCUUUAGGACAACUCUUUAGUACAUAUUUGUUUAAUGACAUGAACUCCACUAAGAAAUAAUCUACCAGUUUUAGAUUACUAGUUACUUUAAUAUUGAUAAAGAUAGAAGGGAUUGUUAAAGCUUACCUUUUUGUUCCAGCUGAGAGCUCUUAUAAUUAAAUCAUAGGGUGUGUGUGUGUGUGUGUGUGUGUGUGUGUGUGUGUGUGUUAAGGACAAACCAGUCUUUCAGGGUGUUUUCUGCUUUGGUGAGGACAUGUCUGUAUUGUGAUUAAGCACAUUAUAAUACUUUAGACUUGUCACGAUUACAAAGAAUUUGGUUAGGUAUUGGAGAAAAUAGAAUUUUUUCUCCCAGUUGAGUUGUCAGAGUAACCAACAUAGGGAAGAAGAUGGUGGGAGCAAGUAGGUUAAGCAUUGCGCUAGUAGUUAGAGUUGAAAGGUCAGUCUCUUUGGGGCAAUAAAAUUAGGACUGAUUAAUUGGCAUUCUUCUUGGUUACUGAGCCAGUGUGUCAUUACAACAGGAAAGGAAAGUAAAAAUCCUUCAUGAAUUUUAUGCUUAUAUCAUACUAUGUUUUUUUGUAUGAUUGUUGAUUUAUUCACACAAUAUUCAGCAUACUUAAACAAAAUCCUAUUAUGUGACAAGCACUGUGCUAGCCUAAAAAGUACAGAGAAGAAAGGACACAGUUGUCUUUUUCUGAGCGCUCUCACCAUUAAUAGAGAAAAACGUGAAAAAUAAUUACAGGACUAUAUAAGAAGAGAAAAUGGAGUUAAGGUAUAGAGAAUGUAUAAAGCAGGGGAUGAUUACAUUUGUCUCAGUUGUGGUAUUAGAGAACAUUUUACAGAGGAGCACUUGAACUUGUUCUUGAAAGAGAAAUCAAUUUGCCUGGAGCCCAAAAAGAUACUAUUCUAGACUAAGAGAAGAGCUUGCAGAGACGGAAUAAGACAAUAUGACACAUUGGGGAAUACUUGGAAAGGAAAGAGAGGAGAGAAGGGUAAAUAAAAGAUAGGGCUUAGCUCAUGAAAGGCUUUCGAUACCUAUUCCUUCAGUGGUUCACCAACCAGUUAUGAGAUAAUAUGAUAGACUUAUUGUUUACAGGGAUCAGGAGAGAGUGAAACAAAAUGAACCUGAAUGAGCACUCUGUUGAGUAAUCCAUUUGUGAAAUGAUAAUAGCGGUGGAGUGAAGCAGAAGAGGAUGGAUCAUAGGAGGCAGAACCAAUAGGAUUGGGGCAGUGAUGUCAUUCCCCCAAAUAGGGAUUAUGAGAGGAACUGAACAUUGCAGCCCAGACGAACAUUGACCUAUAUAAUCAGUUCAUUUUUUGAUAUAUUGAUUUUGUGGUGCUGUUGAACAUUGAAAUGCUAGAGAAAUUUGUGUAUUGUAAACUUAUAAGUAGACAUGGAAGUUGAAUUUGAUGAAGUAGUAUGUGCAGAAUGAGAGGGAAAG